Molecule: ribosomal RNA, 463 nt
Filed under: uncultured bacterium
Lineage: Bacteria
Description: partial 16S ribosomal RNA
Rfam family: Bacterial small subunit ribosomal RNA
Source: RNAcentral
GAUGAACGCUGGCGGCGUGCUUAACACAUGCAAGUCGAACGGUGAACCUCUUCGGAGGGGAUCAGUGGCGAACGGGUGAGUAACACGUGGGCAACCUGCCCCCGGCUCUGGGAUAACUCCAAGAAAUUGGGGCUAAUACCGGAUGUUCACCGCUUCCCGCAUGGGUGGUGGUGGAAAGGGUUUCCGGCUGGGGAUGGGCCCGCGGGCUAUCAGCUUGUUGGUGGGGUAGUGGCCUACCAAGGCGACGACGGGUAGCCGGCCUGGGAGGGGGACCGGCCACACGGGGACUGCGACACGGCCCAGACGCCUACGGGAGGCAGCAGUGGGGAAUAUUGCGCAAUGGGCGGAAGCCUGACACAGCGACGCCGCGUGGGGGAUGACGUCCUUCGGGUUGUAAACCUCUUUCAGCAGGGACGAAGCGCAAGUGACGGUACCUGCAGAAGAAGCACCGGCCAACUACGUG